Clupea harengus (Atlantic herring) is the source of this 441-nucleotide long non-coding RNA. RefSeq lists it as uncharacterized. The record is from RefSeq and is a predicted model, not a curated record. The transcript is spliced from 4 exons. Lineage: Eukaryota; Metazoa; Chordata; Actinopteri; Clupeiformes; Clupeidae.
CACUCACACACACACACACACACACACACACAGUCCUGCCAUCCAGGGAUAAGUCGAGGUAGGUGCGGACUUCUAACUACAUGGACUGACUGGAUGAGGAUCACUUGUCUGCUGAGUGAGCCACCCUGAUCCACCACACACACUCACACACACACACACACACACACACACAGUCCUGCCAUCCAGGGAUAAGUCGAGGUAGGUGCGGACUUCUAACUACAUGGACUGACUGGAUGAGGAUCACUUGUCUGCUGAGUGAGCCACCCUGAUCCACCACACACACUCACACACACACACACACACACACACACAGUCCUGCCAUCCAGGGAUAAGUCGAGGUAGGUGCGGACUUCUAACUACAUGGACUGACUGGAUGAGGGUAAUCAGGAUGGCAGAUCCCCUAAUUGGUCCUGAUCCAGAUUUAGCCCAGUCUGGUCCAGU